AAAGAAGAGUGGCGAACGGGUGAGUAACACGUGGGUAACCUGCCCAUCAGAAGGGGAUAACACUUGGAAACAGGUGCUAAUACCGUAUAACAAUCGAAACCGCAUGGUUUUGAUUUGAAAGGCGCUUUCGGGUGUCGCUGAUGGAUGGACCCGCGGUGCAUUAGCUAGUUGGUGAGGUAACGGCUCACCAAGGCCACGAUGCAUAGCCGACCUGAGAGGGUGAUCGGCCACAUUGGGACUGAGACACGGCCCAAACUCCUACGGGAGGCAGCAGUAGGGAAUCUUCGGCAAUGGACGAAAGUCUGACCGAGCAACGCCGCGUGAGUGAAGAAGGUUUUCGGAUCGUAAAACUCUGUUGUUAGAGAAGAACAAGGAUGAGAGUAACUGUUCAUCCCUUGACGGUAUCUAACCAGAAAGCCACGGCUAACUACGUGCCAGCAGCCGCGGUAAUACGUAGGUGGCAAGCGUUGUCCGGAUUUAUUGGGCGUAAAGCGAGCGCAGGCGGUUUCUUAAGUCUGAUGUGAAAGCCCCCGGCUCAACC
RNAcentral lists this ribosomal RNA (541 nucleotides) under Enterococcus durans. Its description in RNAcentral is "bacterial SSU rRNA". It matches the Rfam family "Bacterial small subunit ribosomal RNA", at positions 87 to 614 of the family's 1533-position model. Lineage: Bacteria; Bacillati; Bacillota; Bacilli; Lactobacillales; Enterococcaceae. The record is from RNAcentral.